AGUAUGGUUGCAAAGCUGAAACUUAAAGGUAUUGACGGAAGGGCACCACAAGGAGUGGAGCUUGCGGCUUAAUUUGACUCAACGCGGGGCAACUCACCCGGUCCGGACACCGCGGGGAUUGACAGAUUGAUAGCUCUUUUCUUGAUUCGGUGGUUGUGGUGCAUGGCCGUUCUUAGUACGUGGUGCAAACUGUCAGGUUAAAUCCGCUAACGUACGCGACUCUAGCCUAUUUACUAGAGCUGGACGAUGAUAAUAAGUCGCCGAUGCGAGGAACUUUCUUAGGGGGAUCCAUUGCGUGGGAGAAGCGGAUGAAAUAGAGCAAUAACAGGUCUGUGAUGCCCUUAGAUGUUCGGGGCCGCACGCGCGCUACACUGAAAAGGAAAGAGGGUGUCCGAGUAUGAGCCGGGCGCGCGAGCCGCCUUAGAGAAAUCUUAGAAACCUUAUCGUGCUAGGGAUUAGGGUUUGGAACUGUUGCCUAUCAACGAGGAAUUCCAAGUAAGUGCGAGUGACUAGCUUGCGUUGAUCAAGUCCCUGCCCUUUGUACACACCGCCCGUCGCUACCACUGAGCUAGCGGCUUAGCAAGGGCGUCGAGACGCGUCCUGGGGGCUCUUGGCGUGGACGGUGCCGUCGGCUUCGGUCGGCCGCCGGCCACUUUGCCGGCCUCAGGUGGGCGUGAAAGGCGUUCAAACUCGGCUGCUUCUAGGAGGUAAA
This 712-nucleotide ribosomal RNA is filed under the name Trypanosyllis taboadai. RNAcentral's name for it is "bacterial SSU rRNA". It matches the Rfam family "Eukaryotic small subunit ribosomal RNA", at positions 1122 to 1786 of the family's 1831-position model. The record is from RNAcentral. Lineage: Eukaryota; Metazoa; Annelida; Polychaeta; Phyllodocida; Syllidae.